AUGGCGGGGUUCGGACUCACAGGCCCAAGGUCAGGCCAAGGCUGGCCCUCAGUCACCCUAUUCCCACCCUCCUCUGAGGAGCUCCAAGCCAAUAAAAUCACACUGGUCUGUCUGGUGAAUGACUUUUACCCGAGUGCUGUGACAGUGGCCUGGAAGGCAGAUGGCACCCGAGUCACCCAGGGAGUGGAGACCACCAAGCCCUCCAAACAGAGCAAUAACAAGUACAUGGCCAGCAGCUACUUGUCUGUGACACCUGGCCAGUGGAAUUCUGGCAAGGCAUAUAGCUGUCAUGUCACACAUGAAGGCAGCACUGUGGAGAAGAGUGUGUCUUCUUCAGAGUGUUCCUAG
This is a non-coding RNA of Castor canadensis (American beaver), 348 nucleotides long. Lineage: Eukaryota; Metazoa; Chordata; Mammalia; Rodentia; Castoridae. The record is from the annotation of a RefSeq genome assembly.